GAAUGCUGACAUAAGUAACGAUAAAGCGGGUGAAAAGCCCGCUCGCCGGAAGACCAAGGGUUCCUGUCCAACGUUAAUCGGGGCAGGGUGAGUCGACCCCUAAGGCGAGGCCGAAAGGCGUAGUCGAUGGGAAACGGGUUAAUAUUCCCGUACUUGGUGUUACUGCGAAGGGGGGACGGAGAAGGCUAUGUUGGCCGGGCGACGGUUGUCCCGGUUUAAGCGUGUAGGCUGGUUUUCCAGGCAAAUCCGGAAAAUCAAGGCUGAGGCGUGAUGACGAGGCACUACGGUGCUGAAGCAACAAAUGCCCUGCUUCCAGGAAAAGCCUCUAAGCAUCAGGUAACAUCAAAUCGUACCCCAAACCGACACAGGUGGUCAGGUAGAGAAUACCAAGGCGCUUGAGAGAACUCGGGUGAAGGAACUAGGCAAAAUGGUGCCGUAACUUCGGGAGAAGGCACGCUGACACGUAGGUGAAGUGAUUUACUCAUGGAGCUGAAGUCAGUCGAAGAUACCAGCUGGCUGCAACUGUUUAUUAAAAACACAGCACUGUGCAAACACGAAAGUGGACGUAUACGGUGUGACGCCUGCCCGGUGCCGGAAGGUUAAUUGAUGGGGUCAGCGCAAGCGAAGCUCCUGAUCGAAGCCCCGGUAAACGGCGGCCGUAACUAUAACGGUCCUAAGGUAGCGAAAUUCCUUGUCGGGUAAGUUCCGACCUGCACGAAUGGCGUAAUGAUGGCCAGGCUGUCUCCACCCGAGACUCAGUGAAAUUGAACUCGCUGUGAAGAUGCAGUGUACCCGCGGCAAGACGGAAAGACCCCGUGAACCUUUACUAUAGCUUGACACUGAACAUUGAGCCUUGAUGUGUAGGAUAGGUGGGAGGCUUUGAAGUGUGGACGCCAGUCUGCAUGGAGCCGACCUUGAAAUACCACCCUUUAAUGUUUGAUGUUCUAACGUGGACCCGUUACCCGGGUUGCGGACAGUGUCUGGUGGGUAGUUUGACUGGGGCGGUCUCCUCCUAAAGAGUAACGGAGGAGCACGAAGGUUGGCUAAUCCUGGUCGGACAUCAGGAGGUUAGUGCAAUGGCAUAAGCCAGCUUGACUGCGAGCGUGACGGCGCGAGCAGGUGCGAAAGCAGGUCAUAGUGAUCCGGUGGUUCUGAAUGGAAGGGCCAUCGCUCAACGGAUAAAAGGUACUCCGGGGAUAACAGGCUGAUACCGCCCAAGAGUUCAUAUCGACGGCGGUGUUUGGCACCUCGAUGUCGGCUCAUCACAUCCUGGGGCUGAAGUAGGUCCCAAGGGUAUGGCUGUUCGCCAUUUAAAGUGGUACGCGAGCUGGGUUUAGAACGUCGUGAGACAGUUCGGUCCCUAUCUGCCGUGGGCGCUGGAGAACUGAGGGGGGCUGCUCCUAGUACGAGAGGACCGGAGUGGACGCAUCACUGGUGUUCGGGUUGUCAUGCCAAUGGCACUGCCCGGUAGCUAAAUGCGGAAGAGAUAAGUGCUGAAAGCAUCUAAGCACGAAACUUGCCCCGAGAUGAGUUCUCCC
Molecule: ribosomal RNA, 1538 nt
Filed under: Salmonella enterica subsp. enterica serovar Enteritidis
Lineage: Bacteria; Pseudomonadati; Pseudomonadota; Gammaproteobacteria; Enterobacterales; Enterobacteriaceae
Description: partial 23S ribosomal RNA
Rfam family: Bacterial large subunit ribosomal RNA
Source: RNAcentral